GCCGACGAGUCUGGGUGGCCCACUGUGUACUGAGGAUGGGGCGGGGCUAAACACGGCGGGGACAGCCAUGACAGCUCUUCGGGAAGCUCUGCUGGAGACUACACUUCCCAGGGGGCGCCGCGCGGCGUGGGCGGGAGCAGGGCGCCUCGGAUUGAGUGCGCAGGCGCGAGAGCGCUCCCCUGGUUAUAUAAAGGAGGU
Non-coding RNA from Otolemur garnettii (small-eared galago), 198 nucleotides. Lineage: Eukaryota; Metazoa; Chordata; Mammalia; Primates; Galagidae. The record is from Rfam.